GACGAACGCUGGCGGCGUGCUUAACACAUUCAAGUCGAACGGAAAGGCCCUGCUUUUGUGGGGUGCUCGAGUGGCGAACGGGUGAGUAACACGUGAGUAACCUGCCCUUGACUUUGGUAUAACUUCAGGAAACUGGGGCUAAUACCGGAUAGGAGCUCCUGCUGCAUGGUGGGGGUUGGAAAGUUUCGGCGGUUGGGGAUGGACUCGCGGCUUAUCAGCUUGUUGGUGGGGUAGUGGCUUACCAAGGCUUUGACGGGUAGCCGGCCUGAGAGGGUGACCGGCCACAUUGGGACUGAGAUACGGCCCAGACUCAUACGGGAGGCAGCAGUGGGGAAUAUUGCACAAUGGGCGGAAGCCUGAUGCAGCAACGCCGCGUGCGGGAUGACGGCCUUCGGGUUGUAAACCGCUUUCGCCUGUGACGAAGCGUGAGUGACGGUAAUGGGUAAAGAAGCAACGGCUAACUACGUG
Molecule: ribosomal RNA, 468 nt
Filed under: uncultured bacterium
Lineage: Bacteria
Description: partial 16S ribosomal RNA
Rfam family: Bacterial small subunit ribosomal RNA
Source: RNAcentral